This 390-nucleotide long non-coding RNA is filed under the name Brassica napus (rape). Its description in RNAcentral is "long non-coding RNA (BNAP_LNC008757)". The record is from RNAcentral. Lineage: Eukaryota; Viridiplantae; Streptophyta; Magnoliopsida; Brassicales; Brassicaceae.
CAACUCACAUCUCUCACCAAAAGAUCCUAAGAACUUUAACUCCUUCUCCUUGAAAUCUACAAGGGAUUUUUUUCAGAACCUCAAAAUAUUUCUUAGCUCCUAACAACUUUGCUAGCCCCUUUUUCUUUUCUUUUUUUUCUUUUUCUUUUCUCUUUUUUUUCGUUUUUUUUUUUUUCUUUUUCCUCUUUUUUUUUUUUAUUUUUUUUUUUUUUAGGCUGGGGGCCAAGACUUUCAAAACUUGAGCUAGAGGCUUCUCUACUUAUCCCAAUAAAACAAUUCACUUAAGCACAAAGAGUCUAUUCUUUUCCUUUUUCAUUUCUCCCAAAUCAUAAUCACAACACUCACCCCCACCUAUAGCUAGACAAUAGAGUGUCCAAUCUAGCAAGAAUG